Molecule: ribosomal RNA, 106 nt
Filed under: Erinaceus europaeus (western European hedgehog)
Lineage: Eukaryota; Metazoa; Chordata; Mammalia; Eulipotyphla; Erinaceidae
Source: RNAcentral
GCAUCUGGCCAUACCACUCUGAACAUGCCUGGUCUCCUCUGAUCUCAGAAGCUAAGCUGGGUUGGGCCUGGGUAGUACUUGGGUGGAAGGAAAGUGUGUGGAUACU